GAUGAAGAACGUAGCGAAAUGCGAUAAGUAAUGUGAAUUGCAGAAUUCAGUGAAUCAUCGAAUCUUUGAACGCACAUUGCGCCCCCUGGUAUUCCGGGGGGCAUGCCUGUUCGAGCGUCAUUUCACCACUCAAGCCUCGCUUGGUAUUGGGCAACGCGGUCCGCCGCGUGCCUCAAAUCGACCGGCUGGGUCUUCUGUCCCCUAAGCGUUGUGGAAACUAUUCGCUAAAGGGUGCUCGGGAGGCUACGCCGUAAAACAAACCCAUUUCUAAGGUUGACCUCGGAUCAGGUAGGGAUACCCGCUGAACUUAAGCAUGUCAAUAAGCGGAGGA
Molecule: unclassified non-coding RNA, 331 nt
Filed under: soil metagenome
Description: partial contains 5.8S ribosomal RNA, internal transcribed spacer 2, and large subunit ribosomal RNA
Rfam family: 5.8S ribosomal RNA (bases 1-120)
Source: RNAcentral